This 697-nucleotide ribosomal RNA is filed under the name Arthrobacter sp. 573-1. Its description in RNAcentral is "bacterial SSU rRNA". It matches the Rfam family "Bacterial small subunit ribosomal RNA", at positions 771 to 1461 of the family's 1533-position model. The record is from RNAcentral. Lineage: Bacteria; Bacillati; Actinomycetota; Actinomycetes; Micrococcales; Micrococcaceae.
AACAGGAUUAGAUACCCUGGUAGUCCAUGCCGUAAACGUUGGGCACUAGGUGUGGGGAACAUUCCACGUUUUCCGCGCCGUAGCUAACGCAUUAAGUGCCCCGCCUGGGGAGUACGGCCGCAAGGCUAAAACUCAAAGGAAUUGACGGGGGCCCGCACAAGCGGCGGAGCAUGCGGAUUAAUUCGAUGCAACGCGAAGAACCUUACCAAGGCUUGACAUGUGCCAGACCGCCUCAGAGAUGGGGUUUCCCUUCGGGGCUGGUUCACAGGUGGUGCAUGGUUGUCGUCAGCUCGUGUCGUGAGAUGUUGGGUUAAGUCCCGCAACGAGCGCAACCCUCGUUCCAUGUUGCCAGCACGUAAUGGUGGGGACUCAUGGGAGACUGCCGGGGUCAACUCGGAGGAAGGUGGGGAUGACGUCAAAUCAUCAUGCCCCUUAUGUCUUGGGCUUCACGCAUGCUACAAUGGCCGGUACAAUGGGUUGCGAUACUGUGAGGUGGAGCUAAUCCCUAAAAGCCGGUCUCAGUUCGGAUUGGGGUCUGCAACUCGACCCCAUGAAGUCGGAGUCGCUAGUAAUCGCAGAUCAGCAACGCUGCGGUGAAUACGUUCCCGGGCCUUGUACACACCGCCCGUCAAGUCACGAAAGUUGGUAACACCCGAAGCCGAUGGCCUAACCAUCCUUGUGUGGGGGGAGUCGUACG